Molecule: ribosomal RNA, 250 nt
Filed under: uncultured prokaryote
Description: partial 16S rRNA
Rfam family: Bacterial small subunit ribosomal RNA
Source: RNAcentral
ACGUAGGGGGCUAGCGUUAUCCGGAAUUACUGGGCGUAAAGGGUGCGUAGGUGGUUUCUUAAGUCAGAGGUGAAAGGCUACGGCUCAACCGUAGUAAGCCUUUGAAACUGGGAAACUUGAGUGCAGGAGAGGAGAGUGGAAUUCCUAGUGUAGCGGUGGAAUGCGUAGAUAUUAGAAGGAACACCAGUUGCGAAGGCGGCUCACUGGACUGUAACGGACACUGAUGCGCGAAAGCGUGAGAAGCGUUCAG